GAUGAACGCUGGCGGCGUGCUUAACACAUGCAAGUCGAACGGAAAGGCUCCUGCUUGCAGGGGUACUCGAGUGGCGAACGGGUGAGUAACACGUGGGUGAUCUGCCCUGCACUUCGGGAUAAGCCUGGGAAACUGGGUCUAAUACCGGAUAGGACGAUGGUUUGGAUGCCAUUGUGGAAAGUUUUUCGGUGUGGGAUGAGCUCGCGGCCUAUCAGCUUGUUGGUGGGGUAAUUGCCUACCAAGGCGUCGACGGGUAGCCGGCCUGAGAGGGUGUACGGCCACAUUGGGACUGAGAUACGGCCCAGACUCCUACGGGAGGCAGCAGUGGGGAAUAUUGCACAAUGGGCGCAAGCCUGAUGCAGCGACGCCGCGUGGGGGAUGACGGCCUUCGGGUUGUAAACUCCUUUCGCUAGGGACGAAGCGCAAGUGACGGUACCUGGAGAAGAAGCACCGGCUAACUACGUG
This 465-nucleotide ribosomal RNA is filed under the name uncultured bacterium. RNAcentral's name for it is "partial 16S ribosomal RNA". It matches the Rfam family "Bacterial small subunit ribosomal RNA", at positions 28 to 507 of the family's 1533-position model. The record is from RNAcentral.